Molecule: long non-coding RNA, 1034 nt
Organism: Pygocentrus nattereri (red-bellied piranha)
Lineage: Eukaryota; Metazoa; Chordata; Actinopteri; Characiformes; Serrasalmidae
Source: Ensembl
GAUGAUAGCGAAGAGUGGACUGGAGAUGAUGAGACCUUGUCCACUUUACCAGAAAGCUUGUGAGUUUCAUUGGUUCUGUUUAGGUUCUGUGUUAGAACGUUUCUGACUGGAACUAUGUUAUGUGGUGGUUGUUGGAGACAUGAGGCUAUGAUGAAAACAUCUUGAGGUCCAAAUUAAUUAGUUUUAAAUGAAAUAUGGCCUUUCUGAAAUGGACAGGACCUGUAGCCUUAUUUUACCUGCUGUGUUUUUACCUGCUGUUUCCUCAGGGGUCCUAACAGAGCUGUCUCAAUGCCAGACAUGUUUGGUAUUGUCAGUGCUCACCGUGCACUGAGUGCUGACAGUAUGGAGGACAUCCCCUCUCAGCACGAGGCUCUUCAGAAGCUCGCGGUCUUCUUCCAGAACUCCAGAGAAGAGCUCAAUACUGUAACGGAUCACACCAGCUCAAUUCCAGCCAACUUCAAUGGUCCAGGUCUUCUGAGUGUUGUGGAGGAACCUCCUUAUGUUGAGGAAGACCAGUUCAGUUACGCAGACGUCGAGCUGCUGCCUCCUCCUGAACUCUACGCUGACUUUUUCUGAGCAUUCAGGUAAACGGCACCAUUUCUUCACUUGUUCUGGAAGACGGGCUACUUUAGGAGGUUGAAAAGCUGAAGGCCAUAUGGUGCCCAUUCAGUCUGCAGUGUUGUUUUUUUGUUUGGUUUUUUUCUGAGAGCUGCUGUUGAUGCUUUUACUCCCCAAUACAGUCUCAGUCAAAAGGACCAAGCAGUGGCCUUUCUCAGAGCUGUGUUAUGAAUUCUGAUGUGAAGAAAGGGAAAAAAUAGAUAAUUAGAAGGCUUGACACUUCUGGGUGUGAGUGUAAUGUCUAAAUGUUAUGGUGUAUUGUCAGUUGAGAUUAUGGCUUUGCACUGUCUUGCAUUUCCUUUUUUUCCCCCUGUUUGUUUUGUUCUGGCCUUUUUGUUUUGUUUGUUUGUAUUAAACCAGUCAUUUAUGUGAAUUGAUGCAUACAAUAAAUGUGUAGUUGGAUUCUGAUUUGAGUU